GAGCACUUUGCUGUGUGUCACAGAGCCUGACAAGUUUGUGAGCAGCCUUGGAGGGGACAAGAGCUGGGCAGUCCUGGUGACACCUGCCACCUCUCCUGGCGAGGACUCCACUCCAUGGGCUUCAAAUUUCUGCCUGGGAAGCUGCUGUGGUUGGAGCUGCAAUAGGCUGAUGGGUAAAUCUUCUGUCCCAUCCUCUCUGCUUAAUCUGGGAUUCUCAAAGAUAUUCACAUGUCAGAGAAGAUUACCUCAUUAUAGUUGGUCAGUGAGUGAAGAGAAUCAUUUUCUUGCCCAGCAACAAUAAUUGCCUAUUCCAUAAAAUACUUCAACAACAUUGGACCUCUUUUUGCUUGCUUUUUGGAUGCUGUCCAAAAUGGCAGAACCCUUGCAGGGCCAGACUGGCUCCAAAUGAAUUUACAGUCUUUAAGCUGUUGGGGCUGAAUAUUGGCUCAGCUGUUCAUGGGAUGCUUUUGCUGACAGACCCAAACUUUUAUCUUAGACCUGAACCUCAGAAUGUCAGCCGAAUCUUGCUCCAGUUCUGCAAAAGGAAGUAUCACGACCAGCAUUUCUGCAGAGGCUGUUUGGACUUGCCCAGUACCUCUGUGCUGGCACAUGCGCUCCUGCCCACGCAGCAUCUGGGACACCCCUCCGGCUGUGACCUAACCCCAUCCUUCUCCUGCUCUGUGCUGGGCUGCCCUUCCAGGAUGUCCAACCCCAUGGGCAGGAUGGAGGCUGGGACGCCACAGCCCAGGAUCUAAUCCCAGCUCUUGGCUGUGGGGAUGCAACAAAUUCACUGUCAGCAAAA
Molecule: long non-coding RNA, 802 nt
Organism: Pyrgilauda ruficollis (rufous-necked snowfinch)
Lineage: Eukaryota; Metazoa; Chordata; Aves; Passeriformes; Passeridae
Exons: 5
Source: RefSeq, a predicted model, not a curated record